Molecule: non-coding RNA, 72 nt
Organism: Ornithorhynchus anatinus (platypus)
Lineage: Eukaryota; Metazoa; Chordata; Mammalia; Monotremata; Ornithorhynchidae
Source: Rfam
AGCAGCGUGGCUCAGUGGAAAGAGCACGGGCUUGGGAGUCAGAGGUCAUGGGUUCGAAUCCCAGCUCUGCCG